AGCAGCCGCGGUAAUUCCAGCUCCAAUAGCGUAUAUUAAAGUUGUUGCAGUUAAAAGCUCGUAGUUGAAUUUCGGGAUCAGUUGGUCGGUCGUGCCUCGGUACGUACUGGUCAAAUUGAUUCCUACCUUCUGACGAACCACGAUGUCAUUAAUUUGGUGUCGCGGGAAAUCAGGACUGUUACUUUGAAAAAUUAGAGUGUUUAAAGCAGGCUCGCGCUUGAAUACAUUAGCAUGGAAUAAUGAAAUAGGACGUUUGAUUCUAUUUUGUUGGUUUCUAGGAUCGACGUAAUGAUUAAUAGGGAUAGUUGGGGGCAUUAGUAUUCAAUUGUCAGAGGUGAAAUUCUUGGAUUUAUUGAAGACUAACUACUGCGAAAGCAUUUGCCAAGGAUGUUUUCAUUAAUCAAGAACGAAAGUUAGGGAUCGAAGACGAUCAGAUACCGUCGUAGUCUUAACCAUAAACUAUGCCGACUAGGGAUCGGAUGAUGUUAAUUUUUAAUGUACUCAUUCGGCGCCUUACGGG
This 520-nucleotide unclassified non-coding RNA is filed under the name uncultured Glomus. Its description in RNAcentral is "SSU rRNA". It matches the Rfam family "Eukaryotic small subunit ribosomal RNA", at positions 569 to 1094 of the family's 1831-position model. Lineage: Eukaryota; Fungi; Glomeromycota; Glomeromycetes; Glomerales; Glomeraceae. The record is from RNAcentral.